Molecule: small nucleolar RNA, 92 nt
Filed under: Theobroma cacao (cacao)
Lineage: Eukaryota; Viridiplantae; Streptophyta; Magnoliopsida; Malvales; Malvaceae
Source: RNAcentral
CUUGGGCAACUGAGGAAUUCUUUUGUUUGAUGGGUAAUUUGCGUCUGAUAAUCUUUCCCUGAUGCUAUCACCUUGGAGAACUGAUGCCCUUU